This is a long non-coding RNA of Panicum virgatum (switchgrass), 663 nucleotides long. RefSeq lists it as uncharacterized. The transcript is spliced from 2 exons. The record is from RefSeq and is a predicted model, not a curated record. Lineage: Eukaryota; Viridiplantae; Streptophyta; Magnoliopsida; Poales; Poaceae.
UCUCUGUCAGACACAAAAGAGAGAUUUAUUUCAGUUUGGCAGGUGAUGUCGUCUUAUGAUCAUCAUUUCAUAUGCAUUCCUGCACAUUUCAAACCAAACCAGGCUUUGUUUAAUUUUCUGCUAAAAAUCUUCUCUCCUUUUUCUAUUUCUUGAGCAAAACUCCUUUCCGUAUAUAGAUUUUUUUCUUUAUUGAGAUUUCAUUGCUUGCAACUCCAGUUCCAAAUGAUUAUUUCAGAGUUCGCAACGAGAGGAUCGCGGAGAUGAAGGAAUUAUUCAGGCAAGGAAGGAAGAAACAAACCUUGAGAAGCCCAGGGAUUUGCAGCAGCUGUGCCUCCACUCUCACUCCUAAAAGAUGACGAGUCCAGCGGUGCCGAGUGAUAAUGUUGCCAGGCUUACCCAGCUAGGUGCUCCUCCAGCAUUGUUGUUGUUGUUAUUGGCGGCGCCAGGACCGUCCCAACCGAUAUGUGCUACAUGUUUUACAUCCGUUGGGAACCCGAUUUGCAUUUCAGGCUCCUUACCAUCUGGUUGCGACAAUUCAGUAUGAAAAGGAAUGAUGAUGAUGUCAAUGCCGGUGUCCUCCCUGGUAUGAACAAUCAGUUUUAAGCUAUUGCAUACCCAUCAUGUUUGAGAUGUAGCGGAACGGCUUCAGGAUCCCCUUCUUCA